This 1246-nucleotide long non-coding RNA is filed under the name Carassius auratus (goldfish). RNAcentral's name for it is "lncRNA (ENSCARG00000043350.1)". The record is from RNAcentral. Lineage: Eukaryota; Metazoa; Chordata; Actinopteri; Cypriniformes; Cyprinidae.
GGGUGAUUCUUGAGUCACCAACUGAACUGUGAACCGUUUAGGACAGGUCCGAUUACCAAUUAACUGAAAAUGAUGAGAGAACUGAUAGUAAAAGCAUUUUGAGUGAACUGACGAUGGAGCGAAAAGCAACUUAAAUUAAUCGGAUUAAAGCAUCAUAAACAGCAAUAUAAGUUCAAAAGAGCCGAUACAGACAAGUGAAUCGGACUUCCGGGUUCACACCGUCCUCCAGCAGCACAGCAGAAACACGAACGCAAACUUUCGUGCCUUUUCUCUUGAGGAAAUGUUACCAGGUUUUGACGACUAUUUAUUGUUCCUGAGGUUAGAGCGAGGGAAAAGAGCAUCGCUCAUAGUGGUAUAAAGCCAUUAAGACCUCCUCGAUAUGCUCAACAUCACAAGCCCCAGCCACCCCUUGUAUGUACCCUGCAUCCGGAGUCGGAGCGUGUUGAUGAACGAGGAGAGGCCGUCCAGGGACUCUCUGAGUUAAGGACCGUGCCGCGCGAUUUAUGACGGCGCUCUCGCAGACUUCAGGAUGAUUAAUAUGGCUCCUCCGUACACCGCGGCAGAUCAGGGGAAGGCGCUGCUCUCCACGAGCGCCAGUCAGGCUGUUUAGACAGGCAGAUAACAUCAAAGCGGCCUGCUGCUAGUGUUAAGAAAAUACUGCAUUCUGGGUCAGCGCAAAUGAAUCCACAAGGAGCACGUAACUGUUUUAAUGACAGUCCCAUCUAUAUAUUAUCACUUGUGCACGUAUUGGAACAGAGAGGUUAAUGGCAUUUACAAAUGUCUUUUUUUCCCUCAGUUUGCGCGAUAAUGAUUUCACUUCAGUUUAUGAACGUGUUUGAUCUCACCACGCUGGUCAGGAGAGCAACCGUAGAUUGAGGCCAUGCUGUCAAUAUCCUGAUCUUUUCAGGAACGAACGUGAUGAUGAGGGGCAAACAAAGUUCACUGCUGGCUUACCAAGACUUUCUGUAGUGGAGAACAUCUCAGGUUUGUACGGACUUCCACCCCUACUGAAGUCAAUGAGAGCUGAGGCUAAAUUUCAUCCUUUAAUAGGUAUGCGUCAGUCUUUUCUCUGUUCUCUGUUUUGCCAUAAAGUUGUUUUACUUCCCUUGUGUCUAAUUUUUAUUUGAUAAAUCUAAGCUUAAAUAAUGAAUUAGAUUAAAUAUAGUGCUGUUUGAAGUGCAGUAACCUUAUGUUGGUAUUUCGCUGAAAGUUUUUUGCUCCUUCUAAACGUACAGCAGUAAUUGAC